RNAcentral lists this ribosomal RNA (539 nucleotides) under uncultured bacterium. Its description in RNAcentral is "bacterial SSU rRNA". It matches the Rfam family "Bacterial small subunit ribosomal RNA", at positions 777 to 1314 of the family's 1533-position model. The record is from RNAcentral.
AAUAGAUACCCUGGUAGUCCAUGCCGUAAACGUUGGGCGCUAGAUGUGGGGACCAUUCCACGGUUUCCGUGUCGCAGCUAACGCAUUAAGCGCCCCGCCUGGGGAGUACGGCCGCAAGGCUAAAACUCAAAGGAAUUGACGGGGGCCCGCACAAGCGGCGGAGCAUGCGGAUUAAUUCGAUGCAACGCGAAGAACCUUACCAAGGCUUGACAUAUACGAGAACGCUCUAGAAAUAGAGAACUCUUUGGACACUCGUAUACAGGUGGUGCAUGGUUGUCGUCAGCUCGUGUCGUGAGAUGUUGGGUUAAGUCCCGCAACGAGCGCAACCCUCGUUCUAUGUUGCCAGCGGUUCGGCCGGGAACUCAUAGGAGACUGCCGGGGUCAACUCGGAGGAAGGUGGGGAGUGACGUCAAAUCAUCAUGCCCCUUAUGUCUUGGGCUUCACGCAUGCUACAAUGGCCGGUACAAAGGGCUGCAAUACCGUAAGGUGGAGCGAAUCCCAAAAAGCCGGUCUCAGUUCGGAUUGAGGUCUGCAACUCG